RNAcentral lists this unclassified non-coding RNA (295 nucleotides) under Hevea brasiliensis (rubber tree). The record is from RNAcentral. Lineage: Eukaryota; Viridiplantae; Streptophyta; Magnoliopsida; Malpighiales; Euphorbiaceae.
GUUUUAUGUUACUUGAAGUGUGAUCAUAGUUAUUAAAGGCGCACCUCAUGCACGCCUCAGGCUCCAGCCCUAAAGACUCUACAAGAGAAAGGUGGGCGACAUGCACCAGGUCCUUGCCUUAUGUGCCUAAGCGUGUUCCUUGUUCCAAGUGCAAGGCUAAAAAUGCGUAACUUUUUUAUUUCCACAUUCGGCGAGUACUUCCAUUAACAAAAAGCACUACCACUCAACUAGAAAUUUAUCGAUCUAGAAGUUUUUAAAAUUAGUAUUGCUCGUGAUAACUAGUCACCAAAAUCUC